UAGGGAAUCUUCCACAAUGGACGAAAGCCUGAUGGAGCAACGCCGCGUGUGUGAUGAAGGGUUUCGGCUCGUAAAACUCUGUUGUUAAAGAAGAACAUAUCUGAGAGUAACUGUUCAGGUAUUGACGGUAUUUAACCAGAAAGCCACGGCUAACUACGUGCCAG
RNAcentral lists this ribosomal RNA (164 nucleotides) under uncultured bacterium. Its description in RNAcentral is "partial 16S rRNA". It matches the Rfam family "Bacterial small subunit ribosomal RNA", at positions 355 to 511 of the family's 1533-position model. The record is from RNAcentral.